Aethina tumida (small hive beetle) is the source of this 517-nucleotide long non-coding RNA. RefSeq lists it as uncharacterized. Lineage: Eukaryota; Metazoa; Arthropoda; Insecta; Coleoptera; Nitidulidae. The transcript has 3 exons. The record is from RefSeq and is a predicted model, not a curated record.
CACGGAACAACAACGAGGAUAGUCGGGAGAACUUGUUAAUUAUCCAGGAUUUACUUCAUCAUCCCCUGUGAUAAUGAUUGUGUACUGUGUUCUAGACUUGUCCAGUUUGAAACUAAGGAAAAUCAAGGACCACGUGCCACUUUAGUGACUGAGGCUCGCGUUUUCAUCGAACCGACCCCAUCUGAAGAUCUCCUGGUGCCCUUAAUUAAGAAUACGGAGGGAUUAGUAAAGAUAUAUCCGUCAAGCUGGAGGUUUUGAAAAAUAAUUUCUAGAAGCGAUGUCUUAAUACUGUUCUUGCAAUUUAUGCAAGUUGCAAAGUGGAUUAUUGAAGGUAUUACAACAGGCUGCUCCGGAAUUUAAUGGGCCAUUGUCACAAGAAGAUUAAGGUGUGAAGUCUAUACAUUGUUUUAAUUGAAGAAAUACUAAGAACAACCAGUGACCUGAAGAAUAUAUCAGUAUUUAUGAACCAGAUAUUGAAAAUUUCGCACCUCAACUAAUAUUUAAAAUAAUAAGAAAU